AGUUUAAAGACGCUGAAUCAAUUUGAGCGGGAGAACCAAUUUUUGGGGUGAAUCUUGUUUUUAUAAACAAGUAGGGUUAAUUUCUUCGACCCGAAUCCGUCAGCUAAUCUCGUAAGCGUUGAAGGGAGGUUUC
Molecule: small RNA, 133 nt
Filed under: Clostridium magnum
Lineage: Bacteria; Bacillati; Bacillota; Clostridia; Eubacteriales; Clostridiaceae
Also listed under: 1 other name
Description: c-di-AMP sequence
Rfam family: c-di-AMP riboswitch aptamer (ydaO/yuaA leader)
About the family: This family represents a conserved RNA structure found upstream of the ydaO and yuaA genes in Bacillus subtilis and related genes in other bacteria.
Source: RNAcentral